RNAcentral lists this ribosomal RNA (468 nucleotides) under uncultured bacterium. RNAcentral's name for it is "partial 16S ribosomal RNA". It matches the Rfam family "Bacterial small subunit ribosomal RNA", at positions 28 to 507 of the family's 1533-position model. The record is from RNAcentral.
GACGAACGCUGGCGGCGUGCUUAACACAUGCGAGUCGAACGGAAAGGCCCUGCUCUUGUGGGGUGCUCGAGUGGCGAACGGGGGAGUAACACGUGAGUAACCUGCCCCUGACUUUGGGGGAAAUUCAGGAAAAUGGGGCGAAUAUCGGGUAGGAGAUCCUGAAGCAUGGGGGGGGUGGGAGAAUUACGGCGGUUUGGGAUGGAAUCGCGGCUUAUCAGCUUGUUGGUGGGGUGGUGGCGUAACAAGGCAUUGACGGGUAGACGGCCUGAGAGUGUGACCGGCCACAUUGGGACUGGGGUACGGCCCAUAGUCCAACGGGGGGCAGCAGUGGGGAACAUUGCGCAAUGGGCGGAAGCCUGAUGCAGCAUCUCCGCGUGCGGGAUGACGGCUUUCGGGUUGUAAACCGCUUUCGCCUGUGACGAAGCGUGAGUGACGGUAAUGGGUAAAGAAGCACCGGCUAACUACGUG